AGCAGCCGCGGUAAUUCCAGCUCCAAUAGCGUAUAUUAAAGUUGUUGCAGUUAAAAAGCUCGUAGUUGAAUUUCGGGAUCAAUAUAUCGGUCGUGCCUUGGUACGUACUGGUAUCAUUGGUUUCUCCUUUCUGACGAACCAUGAUGUCAUUAAUUUGGUGUUAUGGGAAGUUAGGACUGUUACUUUGAAAAAAUUAGAGUGUUUAAAGCAGGCUUUAGCUUGAAUACAUUAGCAUGGAAUAAUGAAAUAGGACGUUCGAACCUAUUUUGUUGGUUUCUAGGAUCAACGUAAUGAUUAAUAGGGAUAGUUGGGGCAUUAGUAUUCAAUUGUCAGAGGUGAAAUUCUUGGAUUUAUUGAAGACUAACUACUGCGAAAGCAUUUGCCAAGGAUGUUUUCAUUAAUCAAGAACGAAAGUUAGGGGAUCGAAGACGAUCAGAUACCGUCGUAGUCUUAACCAUAAACUAUGCCGACUAGGGAUCGGAUGAUGUUAAUUUUUUAAUGUACUCAUUCGGCGCCUUAC
Molecule: ribosomal RNA, 520 nt
Filed under: uncultured Glomus
Lineage: Eukaryota; Fungi; Glomeromycota; Glomeromycetes; Glomerales; Glomeraceae
Description: SSU rRNA
Rfam family: Eukaryotic small subunit ribosomal RNA
Source: RNAcentral